GUGCAUAUUAUAUAUAUAGGAACUCUUAAGUCUAUUUUUGAUAUAUCGACUAUUACAUUUUGCAUACAAUGUAGUCAAGGAACCAGGAAAAAAGCAAAGCCCUUAAUACAACAUUUGUUUUCAACAUGGUAUUAGAGCUAUAUUUAUAAUUACUACAACAUAAACAUGAAGUAGUAUUAUUAUAGUUGUUUCAGAAGUACUAGAACCAGAUUGCCUUUGCAUCUAUGAGCAUUUGCUUCAAUGAGCCAUCCAAGUGCAGGGAUAAGACAUCUUUUGCUGAGCCUACGUAUUUUCCACCUAUGAACACAGCUGGGACUGAAGGGUUACAUCCAAGGCCUCUUAAAGCCCACUCCAUUUCUCUCCCACUGGCGUCGCGAUCGAGCUCGUGAAUUGCAGGGCUUGCACCAAGUUCGUAAAAAAGUGUUUUGAUGCUAUGGCACAUGCAACAUGAGCUCUUGGUGAAGAUCACUGCAGCCCUAGUUGAAGCCAAAUCUCUCACCCUAUCCAUUGCAAAAACUCUUUGUGUUUGGUUUCCCUAACUAAUGAAACAAUUCUUUUUUUCUAUACAGCUAAUCAACUAAGUGGUGAUCGCUAGAACAAACAAAGAAAGCUAGCUAGCGAAGGUUUGUGAAGAGAAAAAGAUAAAACAAAACUAGGCAAGUAAGGAAGCUUCUGUUUUUGUUUGUGUGUAUUGAGCUACGAUAGACUCUGAGAUUCAUCAGGCGUUAUUUAUAAUGGCUGGCCAGGGUGGUGUGGAUUGAUUGUUUAGUCCGUUAAGGAAAAAAAUAGAAUAGAGGAUUCCAAAAAAAUUAUUAAAAAAAAUACAAAAAAGGAGAAAGUUCUUUGAG
Molecule: unclassified non-coding RNA, 848 nt
Filed under: Hevea brasiliensis (rubber tree)
Lineage: Eukaryota; Viridiplantae; Streptophyta; Magnoliopsida; Malpighiales; Euphorbiaceae
Source: RNAcentral